RNAcentral lists this ribosomal RNA (618 nucleotides) under uncultured bacterium. RNAcentral describes it as "bacterial SSU rRNA". It matches the Rfam family "Bacterial small subunit ribosomal RNA", at positions 173 to 769 of the family's 1533-position model. The record is from RNAcentral.
GUAACACUUUCGAGUGCAAAUCUUGAAUAUAUAAAGGUAUAAUCCCUUAUGAGAUGAGCUUGCGUAGGAUUAGGUAGUUGGUAGGGUAAAGGCCUACCAAGCCCCAGAUCCUUAGCUGGUUUGAGAGGAUGAUCAGCCACACUGGGACUGAGACACGGCCCAGACGCUUUCGAGCGGCAGCAGUGAGGAAUUUUGGACAAUGGGCGAAAGCCUGAUCCAGCUAUAUCGCGUGAGUGAUGACGACUGUAUUGGUUGUAAAACUCUUUAUUUGAACCUGUAUUUUACAGUAUUCUAUGAUUCAUAGAGUAGGAGAUUAUGACAAAGUUCAAACAAAAAGUCCCGGCUAAUCUCGUGCCAGCAGCCGCGGUAAUACGAGAGGGGCAAGCGUUAUUCGGAAUGAUUGGGCGUAAAGAGCACGUAGACGGUAUUGUAUCAUCCACUUGAAAACUCAAAGCUUAACUUUGAGAAAGAGUUCUUUGUUGAUACAAUACUUGAGUGAGUGCGAGGAGAAUGGAAUUUCUAGAGGAGAGGUAAAUUUGUUGAUUUUAGGAGGAACACCAAAAGCGAAGGCAGUUCUCUAAUACUCUACUGACGUUGAGGUGCGAAAGCGUGGGGAUC